This 28-nucleotide non-coding RNA is filed under the name Rattus norvegicus (Norway rat). Lineage: Eukaryota; Metazoa; Chordata; Mammalia; Rodentia; Muridae. The record is from RNAcentral.
UCCAUCAACUAGCAAUUAAGAGACUGAC